ACUUAAAUAGCUUAUAUAGAGCACGACACUGAAGAUGUCGAUGAGGUAUUUUUUACCUUUGAGUA
This 65-nucleotide transfer RNA is filed under the name Aderitotermes sp. BDIT109. Its description in RNAcentral is "tRNA-Phe". Lineage: Eukaryota; Metazoa; Arthropoda; Insecta; Blattodea; Termitidae. The record is from RNAcentral.